UAGGGAAUCUUCGGCAAUGGGGGGAACCCUGACCGAGCAACGCCGCGUGAGUGAAGAAGGUUUUCGGAUCGUAAAGCUCUGUUGUUAAGGAAGAACGAGUGUGAGAAUGGAAAGUUCAUGCUGUGACGGUACUUAACCAGAAAGGGACGGCUAACUACGUGCCAGCAGCCGCGGUAAUACGUAGGUCCCGAGCGUUGUCCGGAUUUAUUGGGCGUAAAGCGAGCGCAGGCGGUUAGAAAAGUCUGAAGUGAAAGGCAGUAGCUCAACCAUUGUAGGCUUUGGAAACUGUUUAACUUGAGUGCAGAAGGGGAGAGUGGAAUUCCAUGUGUAGCGGUGAAAUGCGUAGAUAUAUGGAGGAACACCGGUGGCGAAAGCGGCUCUCUGGUCUGUAACUGACGCUGAGGCUCGAAAGCGUGGGGAGCGAACAGG
Molecule: ribosomal RNA, 429 nt
Filed under: Bacteroidota bacterium
Lineage: Bacteria; Pseudomonadati; Bacteroidota
Also listed under: 1 other name
Description: Bacteroidetes bacterium partial 16S ribosomal RNA
Rfam family: Bacterial small subunit ribosomal RNA
Source: RNAcentral